Haliotis rubra (blacklip abalone) is the source of this 658-nucleotide long non-coding RNA. RefSeq lists it as uncharacterized. The transcript has 6 exons. The record is from RefSeq and is a predicted model, not a curated record. NCBI's taxonomy places the organism in Eukaryota, Metazoa, Mollusca, Gastropoda, Lepetellida, Haliotidae.
ACAGGUGCACACAGGUGUACUUCCCCCAAACUACCCAACCUCAACACCAGACACACACCUAACUGGAGGGGGACACAGGUGUACUUCCCCCAAACAACCCAACCUCAACACCAGACACACACCUAACUGGAGGGGGACACAGGUGGACACAGGUGGACUUCCCCCAAACAACCCAACCUCAACACCAGACACACACCUAACUGGAGGGGGACACAGGUGGACUUCCCCCAAACAUCCCAACCUCAACACCAGACACACACCUAACUGGAGGGGGACACAGGUGGACACAGGUGGACUUCCCCCAAACAACCCAACCUCAACACCAGACACACAUCUAACUGGAGGGGGACACAGGUGGACUUCCCCCAAACAACCCAACCUCAACACCAGACACACAUCUAACUGGAGGGGGACACAGGUGGACUUCCCCCAAACAACCCAACCUCAACACCAGACACACAUCUAACUGGAGGGGGACACAGGUGGACACAGGUGGACUUCCCCCAAACAUCCCAACCUCAACACCAGACACACACCUAACUGGAGGGGGACACAGGUGGACUUCCCCCAAACAACCCAACCUCAACACCAGACACACACCUAACUGGAGGGGGACACAGGUGGACACAGGUGGACACAGGUGGACUUCCCCCAAACA